CGCUGGCGGCGUGCUUAACGCAUGCAAGUCGAGCGGGGAUACGAGGGAGCUUGCUCCUGAGUAUUCUAGCGGCGAACGGGUGAGUAACGCGUGAGAAACCUGCCUUUCAGUGGGGGACAACAGUUGGAAACGACUGCUAAUACCGCAUAAUGUAUCGAGAGGGCAUCCUCUUGAUACCAAAGCUUAAUGUGCUGAGAGAUGGUCUCGCGUCUGAUUAGCUAGAUGGCGGGGUAACGGCCCACCAUGGCGACGAUCAGUAGCCGGUCUGAGAGGAUGAACGGCCACAUUGGGACUGAGACACGGCCCAGACUCCUACGGGAGGCAGCAGUGGGGAAUAUUGCGCAAUGGGGGCAACCCUGACGCAGCAACGCCGCGUGAAGGAAGAAGGUCUUCGGAUUGUAAACUUUUGUCUUAUGGGAAGAUAAUGACGGUACCAUAGGAGGAAGCUCCGGCUAACUACGUG
RNAcentral lists this ribosomal RNA (463 nucleotides) under uncultured bacterium. RNAcentral describes it as "bacterial SSU rRNA". It matches the Rfam family "Bacterial small subunit ribosomal RNA", at positions 34 to 507 of the family's 1533-position model. The record is from RNAcentral.